GUGCUCGCUUCAGCAGCACAUAUACUAGAAUUGGAAUGAUACAGAGAAAAUUAGCAUGGCUCCUGCGCAAGGAUGACACGCAAAUUCAUGAAGCCUUCCAUAUUUUU
This 107-nucleotide small nuclear RNA is filed under the name Cervus elaphus hippelaphus. The record is from RNAcentral. Lineage: Eukaryota; Metazoa; Chordata; Mammalia; Artiodactyla; Cervidae.